GGAGAGAUGGCCGAGUGGUUGAUGGCUCUGGUCUUGAAAACCAGUAUAGUGAAAAAAACUAUCGAGGGUUCGAAUCCCUCUCUCUCCU
RNAcentral lists this transfer RNA (88 nucleotides) under Austrocedrus chilensis. RNAcentral's name for it is "tRNA-Ser". It matches the Rfam family "tRNA". Rfam says of the family: Transfer RNA (tRNA) molecules are approximately 80 nucleotides in length. Their secondary structure includes four short double-helical elements and three loops (D, anti-codon, and T loops). RNAcentral also lists the same sequence under 2 other names. Lineage: Eukaryota; Viridiplantae; Streptophyta; Pinopsida; Cupressales; Cupressaceae. The record is from RNAcentral.